Molecule: long non-coding RNA, 3450 nt
Organism: Lepidothrix coronata (blue-crowned manakin)
Lineage: Eukaryota; Metazoa; Chordata; Aves; Passeriformes; Pipridae
Exons: 3
Source: RefSeq, a predicted model, not a curated record
CUUGGGUGUGAACCCAGACUUAGGGUGCUUGUAACAUAAAGCUGUGCUCCAGAGUUGUUUGGGAUCCCUGUUCAGACACAGCAGUCAUGAUCUAAAUUGUGGAUGGUUUCAGUGUGCCUUGGCCAGGAUCUCAGAAAAGCUGAACGUGUGUGUGCUUCUCCGUUUAGGACCAGGAUUAAUACGGUGAACGCUCUAAUUUAGAUUCCAGGAACGAAGUUCAAGAAUCUACGCUUGCAGAGCCAGGAGGGCUAUUUGAGGCAAAAGUGAAAUUGAUUUUGGUUUAAAAGGGCUGUAAAAGAAGACAGGAGUAAAUAUGGAGAAAAAUAAUCUAAAAUUGAUUAGAAAGCAGCUAUUACCCAGCAGGCAGUAAACCACUGAAGAUAGGCCAUUGAAUAACCAUGAAAAGAAAAUGAGAAUGUUGUGGUAUAUACAAAUAAGAAUCGAACACGGUACUCCUGCAAUGAUAUUUUUUUUCUCCAAUCAGUGUGUCACUCCGACUGAAGAGUGUUUCAAGAUUAGAAACUGCUGUGAAAAACUAGAGAUGUGUGCCCUAGACCUUGGAAAAAACUUUGAAUCAGGAUUGGUAACUAUCAGGGGGAUUUAUACCAAAGUUUACCCUAGAAACUCAGCACUGGGGACAUACUCUGGGAGUGGACUACAAGCAGAACCUGUGGGUCAAAUUAAGUCACAGACACCAAACUGAAGGAAAAAAAGAUGGAUUUCAAACCUGAUGCUGGCAUAGAAAAGGACAAUCUGGCUGCACAUUCGCAAUAUCUGGAACAUGAAACUGUGGCAGUGGUUUUAAUUACACAGAUGGGACUUACUGAAUACACCAGUUUGGAGACCGUAGAGAGAUUCCCAAUGAAUGGCUGUAUCACAGACAUCGUUACUGUACAAAUUUCAACUACAUUUUUACAACCAUACAGUGAACUUUGCACACCUAGAGAUGUGCUCAGGGCAUUUUUACUUCCAGUUCUCUCUUCAGCCCAGACUUGAUGCUGUAUGUAAGGCAUAUCUAACAUGUUAAUGAGAAAAUAAAAUUAUACAUUCCACUCUGUCCUUGGGAAUUUAUAGAGGUUCUAUUACUCAGUAUACCUGUGAACUCCUUAGACUUAUGGAUUAGUUCCAAGUGAGUGAAAUAAUUAAUGUCUCACCAAGCUAUAUAUGGCACAAUUAAAUAUUUUAAGAGUAAGAGCCUAAGUGUUAGUUCAACCAUUCAAGUUGGUAUAAGUUCAGAUUUAGAAUAUCAUGUGCAAUCUUAAAUAUCAUUUACAAAAUUCUUGACGUGAAGUGCUUUUAGGAUAGUCCUUGUAACAGCUAGGACAUUAAGCUUAAUCUUGCACCCAGCUGUAAUAAUACCUAUGUUUCAAAUAAUUAUAUUAAUGUCAACUAUUGCAUUGAGAAAUGAGAAUUACUGUUUCUUUGAGAUAAAGGUUUAUGCAAACUCGUGCUUGUGAUACUGCCUCUCUACCCAAGGGGUGGGUAUGGCUCAGUGUUAGCUUGGACCCUGUCUGGUUAGACAGUCACCUAAGGGGCAGGAACCAGAAAUGGUCCAAAAGUCAAGGUUUUUUACAUGCCUCUUCAACAGACCUUCCCAUAACACUGCAGUGUAGUGCCUUAGAUGUUGUAAGUGGUCCACGUGAGCGUCUGUAACUUCUGUCUUCAGGAAAGUGAAUUCUCCAUCAGCACAAGUCAAGGACUGAACCUUUCUCAGACACUGGUGACCUCCAUGGCAUUCCUGCUGCUGCUUUAUAGAAAUGAGCCACAGGCACCUGCCAUAUGUCUCACUGCAUUGUAAUAAUUAAGCAUGAGUGUCACAAUCUUAAUGUGGGAUUAUAAACCUAUAUUCAUAACUGCUGUUUGUCUCCAAAAUCAGCAAUCUGGCUUGUGUCUGGAUCCAGCCCCUGCACCUCCCCUGUCCUGUGUGUGCCUAUAUUGGUCUUCUUCUGUCCAUGGAGUUAUGUCACGGAUGCUUCUAAAGCAGGGUGCUCUGCAGCUGGCACAAGCACUGUCUCACCAGAGCUCCUGCCCUACCAGGUGGAGGACAACAACUCCCAGGUGUCUGUCCCAGUGGAAGUGUGACUGACUAUAAACCCCAUAUCUCCAGCUGGAGUUUCACCACUCUUGUGAGCUCACAUGGAGUCACAAGCAAAUGUCCCAAACCUUUGAGAGUCACUGGUUUAGGCUGACUGGGUACCCUCUGGUGCUCCCCACUGCCUGUUGUAGGGAAAGACACAUUGGUCUCUCCUGCCCAAAAGAGGGGGUAGUUGUCUUGCAAAUCCUUCAGUCACCCCCAGCUACACCCCUCUGCCAUGGCCAUCACCUGCUUCACCACCUCUGGCUCCUCUUCCCUGGCUGUUCCCACUUCCAGGGCUCCCACCUCUCUGCCCAUGAAGCUCAAGGACUGAUGUAGCUCUCCCACAAGGACAAGUCACUGCUGGGGAGGUGCUGAAACAAUCAAACAUGGUGUCUCACAGUGCAGAGGAAGGAGUCAUUAACCCUCUACAAAAGCUUAAUAUUCCAUAAAUGGCACAUGGAGAAAGUGCAAUGGUAGCUGCUCUUGAAUCCCCAGUGAAGAAAAUCUCUGCCUGGUGCAACAAGCUGCUACCUGUGCAGGGGAUGGAGCAGCAGAAAAUUGCUAAACAUUUCAUGAAACCUGCUUUGUUGGGCUGCACUCUGGUGGGGGCUGCAGUUAUGUGACUGCACUGGGACUGCUGCUGGAAAUUGUGUUGAAAAGAUGUGGAAGCAUCCUCUGCUCAAACAGGUGAUGAAAUUCUUAUGAGUUCGGUGGGUCUUAACAUUCAUUUGUAGACAGCAGCAUCUGUAGGGAAGGAGAUGGGGUUUCAUGGGGUGAGUGAGUGGGAUGACUUGGAUUUUCACGAUUUCUGCUUUCAUGUAUGCCUACAGUGCUGUUCAUGUCAUAUGCAUAGUUUCUGUGGAAGCGACACAAUAUGCUGGGCUGCUGAAGAUACAGCUGCCAAAAAAAUGGUGCAACUGAUUUAGUAUGAAACUAGGUUUACAUGUGCACUUGGGCAACAGGUGAACAGUAAGAGGCAGGACCAUCAGGUCUUUAUUUUGUUUAAAAAUGGAGGUUUUCUGACUGGUGAUUAAACUAGUCAAGGACAUUCAGCUAAUACCCUGGUAGAACUUUGAAAAAUUCAGCUGACAGUUCUACUUCAGAAGCAAGGCAGUCAGGUACAAGAUACUCACUGAGGUGUGCUCCCACAAGGCAAAAAACAACAUGCAGACAGGGUGCAAGAUUGCAGUAGAGGCCAUAGGUGAUAACUGGGCUUGGGCUCAUAAAUCACAUGGCAGACUCUGAUAAUACCGAUGCUUUUACUGUGGAAUACUGAUUAGGGCCAAGUAAUAAGUGACAAUUUGGCUCUUUCAUAAUUUGCUUUUGAAACAAAGUUUUGUUGAAACAGAUUUUUCUCAUGUCCCUUCAAGUUU